ACGCUCGACACCUACGGGGGCAGCAGUGGGGAAUAUUGCACAAUGGGGGAAACCCUGAUGCAGCGACGCCGCGUGAGCGAAGAAGUAUUUCGGUAUGUAAAGCUCUAUCAGCAGGGAAGAUCAUGACGGUACCUGACUAAGAAGCUCCGGCUAAAUACGUGCCANCAGCCGCGGUAAUCUGAGGCGGGCUGGCAAGGC
Molecule: ribosomal RNA, 198 nt
Filed under: uncultured bacterium
Lineage: Bacteria
Description: partial 16S ribosomal RNA
Rfam family: Bacterial small subunit ribosomal RNA
Source: RNAcentral